This 440-nucleotide ribosomal RNA is filed under the name uncultured bacterium. RNAcentral describes it as "partial 16S ribosomal RNA". It matches the Rfam family "Bacterial small subunit ribosomal RNA", at positions 338 to 795 of the family's 1533-position model. The record is from RNAcentral.
CCUACGGGUGGCAGCAGUGGGGAAUAUUGCACAAUGGGGGAAACCCUGAUGCAGCGACGCCGCGUGAGUGAAGAAGUAAUUCGUUAUGUAAAGCUCUAUCAGCAGGGAAGAAAAUGACGGUCCCUGAGUAAGAAGCCCCUGCUAACGCCGUGCCAGCAGCCGCGGUAAUACGUAGGGGGCACGCGUUAUACGGAUUUACUGGGGGUAAAGUGAGCGUAGACGGCAGUGCAAGUCGGGAGUGAAAGGCGGGGGCUCAACCCCCGGACUGCUCUUGAUACUGUACGGCUGGAGUGCAGGAGAGGGAGGCGGAAGUCCAGGUGUAGCGGUGAAAUGCGUAGAUAUCAGGAGGAACACCAGUGGCGAAGGCGGCUUACUGGACUGUAAUUGACGUUGAGGCGCGAAAGCGUGGGGAGCAAACAGGAUUAGAUACCCGGGUAGUC